GACGGGGCCCGGCGACAAGCGGUGGAGUAUGUGGUUUAAUUCGAUGCAACGCGAAGAACUUACCUGGUCUUGACAUCCGGAGACCCUUAGGAAACUAGGGGGUGCUUCCAUCUGGAAGAAUCUGGAGACAGGUGCUGCAUGGCUGUCGUCAGCUCGUGUCGUGAGAUGUUGGGUUAAGUCCCGCAACGAGCGCAACCCUUGCCUUUAGUUGCCAGCAGUUCGGCUGGGCACUCUAAAGGGACUGCCGGUGUUAAACCGGAGGAAGGUGGGGAUGACGUCAAGUCCUCAUGGCCUUUAUGACCAGGGCUACACACGUACUACAAUGGCCGAUACAAAGGGCAGCGACACUGCGAGGUGAAGCCAAUCCCGUAAAAUCGGUCUCAGUCCGGAUUGGAGUCUGCAACUCGACUCCAUGAAGUUGGAAUCGCUAGUAAUCGUGGAUCAGCAUGCCACGGUGAAUACGUUCCCGGGCCUU
Molecule: ribosomal RNA, 475 nt
Filed under: uncultured Desulfobulbus sp.
Lineage: Bacteria; Pseudomonadati; Thermodesulfobacteriota; Desulfobulbia; Desulfobulbales; Desulfobulbaceae
Description: bacterial SSU rRNA
Rfam family: Bacterial small subunit ribosomal RNA
Source: RNAcentral